GACGAACGCUGGCGGCGUGCUUAACACAUGCAAGUUGAACGGAAAGGCCCUGCUUUUGUGGGGUGCUCGAGUGGCGAACGGGUGAGUAACACGUGAGUAACCUGCCCUUGACUUUGGGAUAACUUCAGGAAACUGGGGCUAAUACCGGAUAGGAGCUCCUGCUGCAUGGUGGGGGUUGGAAAGUUUCGGCGGUUGGGGAUGGACUCGCGGCUUAUCAGCUUGUUGGUGGGGUAGUGGCUUACCAAGGCUUUGACGGGUAGCCGGCCUGAGAGGGUGACCGGCCACAUUGGGACUGAGAUACGGCCCAGACUCCUACGGGAGGCAGCAGUGGGGAAUAUUGCACAAUGGGCGGAAGCCUGAUGCAGCAACGCCGCGUGCGGGAUGACGGCCUUCGGGUUGUAAACCGCUUUCGCCUGUGACGAAGCGUGAGUGACGGUAAUGGGUAAAGAAGCACCGGCUAACCACGUG
RNAcentral lists this ribosomal RNA (468 nucleotides) under uncultured bacterium. Its description in RNAcentral is "partial 16S ribosomal RNA". It matches the Rfam family "Bacterial small subunit ribosomal RNA", at positions 28 to 507 of the family's 1533-position model. The record is from RNAcentral.